UUAAGCGACUAAGCGUACACGGUGGAUGCCCUGGCAGUCAGAGGCGAUGAAGGACGUGCUAAUCUGCGAUAAGCGUCGGUAAGGUGAUAUGAACCGUUAUAACCGGCGAUUUCCGAAUGGGGAAACCCAGUGUGAUUCGUCACACUAUCAUUAACUGAAUCCAUAGGUUAAUGAGGCGAACCGGGGGAACUGAAACAUCUAAGUACCCCGAGGAAAAGAAAUCAACCGAGAUUCCCCCAGUAGCGGCGAGCGAACGGGGAGCAGCCCAGAGCCUGAAUCAGUGUGUGUGUUAGUGGAAGCGUCUGGAAAGGCGCGCGAUACAGGGUGACAGCCCCGUACACAAAAAUGCACAUGCUGUGAGCUCGAUGAGUAGGGCGGGACACGUGGUAUCCUGUCUGAAUAUGGGGGGACCAUCCUCCAAGGCUAAAUACUCCUGACUGACCGAUAGUGAACCAGUACCGUGAGGGAAAGGCGAAAAGAACCCCGGCGAGGGGAGUGAAAAAGAACCUGAAACCGUGUACGUACAAGCAGUGGGAGCACAGAGCAAUCUGUGUGACUGCGUACCUUUUGUAUAAUGGGUCAGCGACUUAUAUUCUGUAGCAAGGUUAACCGAAUAGGGGAGCCGAAGGGAAACCGAGUCUUAACUGGGCGUUAAGUUGCAGGGUAUAGACCCGAAACCCGGUGAUCUAGCCAUGGGCAGGUUGAAGGUUGGGUAACACUAACUGGAGGACCGAACCGACUAAUGUUGAAAAAUUAGCGGAUGACUUGUGGCUGGGGGUGAAAGGCCAAUCAAACCGGGAGAUAGCUGGUUCUCCCCGAAAGCUAUUUAGGUAGCGCCUCGUGAAUUCAUCUCCGGGGGUAGAGCACUGUUUCGGCAAGGGGGUCAUCCCGACUUACCAACCCGAUGCAAACUGCGAAUACCGGAGAAUGUUAUCACGGGAGACACACGGCGGGUGCUAACGUCCGUCGUGAAGAGGGAAACAACCCAGACCGCCAGCUAAGGUCCCAAAGUCAUGGUUAAGUGGGAAACGAUGUGGGAAGGCCCAGACAGCCAGGAUGUUGGCUUAGAAGCAGCCAUCAUUUAAAGAAAGCGUAAUAGCUCACUGGUCGAGUCGGCCUGCGCGGAAGAUGUAACGGGGCUAAACCAUGCACCGAAGCUGCGGCAGCGACGCUGAUGCGUUGUUGGGUAGGGGAGCGUUCUGUAAGCCUGUGAAGGUGUGCUGUGAGGCAUGCUGGAGGUAUCAGAAGUGCGAAUGCUGACAUAAGUAACGAUAAAGCGGGUGAAAAGCCCGCUCGCCGGAAGACCAAGGGUUCCUGUCCAACGUUAAUCGGGGCAGGGUGAGUCGACCCCUAAGGCGAGGCCGAAAGGCGUAGUCGAUGGGAAACAGGUUAAUAUUCCUGUACUUGGUGUUACUGCGAAGGGGGGACGGAGAAGGCUAUGUUGGCCGGGCGACGGUUGUCCCGGUUUAAGCGUGUAGGCUGGUUUUCCAGGCAAAUCCGGAAAAUCAAGGCUGAGGCGUGAUGACGAGGCACUACGGUGCUGAAGCAACAAAUGCCCUGCUUCCAGGAAAAGCCUCUAAGCAUCAGGUAACAUCAAAUCGUACCCCAAACCGACACAGGUGGUCAGGUAGAGAAUACCAAGGCGCUUGAGAGAACUCGGGUGAAGGAACUAGGCAAAAUGGUGCCGUAACUUCGGGAGAAGGCACGCUGAUAUGUAGGUGAAGUCCCUCGCGGAUGGAGCUGAAAUCAGUCGAAGAUACCAGCUGGCUGCAACUGUUUAUUAAAAACACAGCACUGUGCAAACACGAAAGUGGACGUAUACGGUGUGACGCCUGCCCGGUGCCGGAAGGUUAAUUGAUGGGGUUAGCGCAAGCGAAGCUCUUGAUCGAAGCCCCGGUAAACGGCGGCCGUAACUAUAACGGUCCUAAGGUAGCGAAAUUCCUUGUCGGGUAAGUUCCGACCUGCACGAAUGGCGUAAUGAUGGCCAGGCUGUCUCCACCCGAGACUCAGUGAAAUUGAACUCGCUGUGAAGAUGCAGUGUACCCGCGGCAAGACGGAAAGACCCCGUGAACCUUUACUAUAGCUUGACACUGAACAUUGAGCCUUGAUGUGUAGGAUAGGUGGGAGGCUUUGAAGUGUGGACGCCAGUCUGCAUGGAGCCGACCUUGAAAUACCACCCUUUAAUGUUUGAUGUUCUAACGUUGACCCGUGAUCCGGGUUGCGGACAGUGUCUGGUGGGUAGUUUGACUGGGGCGGUCUCCUCCUAAAGAGUAACGGAGGAGCACGAAGGUUGGCUAAUCCUGGUCGGACAUCAGGAGGUUAGUGCAAUGGCAUAAGCCAGCUUGACUGCGAGCGUGACGGCGCGAGCAGGUGCGAAAGCAGGUCAUAGUGAUCCGGUGGUUCUGAAUGGAAGGGCCAUCGCUCAACGGAUAAAAGGUACUCCGGGGAUAACAGGCUGAUACCGCCCAAGAGUUCAUAUCGACGGCGGUGUUUGGCACCUCGAUGUCGGCUCAUCACAUCCUGGGGCUGAAGUAGGUCCCAAGGGUAUGGCUGUUCGCCAUUUAAAGUGGUACGCGAGCUGGGUUUAGAACGUCGUGAGACAGUUCGGUCCCUAUCUGCCGUGGGCGCUGGAGAACUGAGGGGGGCUGCUCCUAGUACGAGAGGACCGGAGUGGACGCAUCACUGGUGUUCGGGUUGUCAUGCCAAUGGCACUGCCCGGUAGCUAAAUGCGGAAGAGAUAAGUGCUGAAAGCAUCUAAGCACGAAACUUGCCCCGAGAUGAGUUCUCCCUGACUCCUUGAGAGUCUUGAAGGAACGUUGAAGACGACGACGUUGAUAGGCCGGGUGUGUAAGCGCAGCGAUGCGUUGAGCUAACCGGUACUAAUGAACCGUGAGGCUUAACCUU
RNAcentral lists this ribosomal RNA (2904 nucleotides) under Escherichia coli. Its description in RNAcentral is "23S ribosomal RNA". It matches the Rfam family "Bacterial large subunit ribosomal RNA". Lineage: Bacteria; Pseudomonadati; Pseudomonadota; Gammaproteobacteria; Enterobacterales; Enterobacteriaceae. The record is from RNAcentral.